This is a long non-coding RNA of Carlito syrichta (Philippine tarsier), 537 nucleotides long. RefSeq lists it as uncharacterized. Lineage: Eukaryota; Metazoa; Chordata; Mammalia; Primates; Tarsiidae. The record is from RefSeq and is a predicted model, not a curated record. The transcript is spliced from 4 exons.
AUGCUAGAUUUAAAACACCUGAGGAUGCUCAAGCAGUAAUAAAUUCAUAUGCAGAAAUUAAAAAGAAACACUACUGGAAACUCGAGAUCCUUUCUGGUGAUCACGAGCAAAGGUAUUGGCAGAAAAUUCUGGUUGAUAGACAGGCCAAACUUAAUCAGCCUCGGGAAAAGAAAAGGGGCACUGAAAAGUUAAUCACCAAAGCUGAAAAGAUUAGACUGGAAAAGACUCAACAAGCAAGUAAACACAUUAGAUUUUCUGAAUAUGAUUGACAAAAGAGUUCACCUCUUAAUGCUUCACUGGAUACCUAGCUGUUCUUAGGAAAUUCACUUUUGUCAUGAUAGUACUGCAAAAUGAAUGUUUUUUUAAAACUUACAUUUAUUAAAAGAAUUACCUUUGUUCUUCAACUUGUAAAUAAGACUUUUUUCCUAAAGAUAAAUAAGUACAUUGUAUACCACAAUUUUUCAUUAAACACUUUGUUAAAAUUAUAUCAUAUGUCAACCUUAAGUGAUUUAGUAAAUAAAUGUGUUUUGAACAUUA